RNAcentral lists this transfer RNA (73 nucleotides) under Ovis aries (sheep). It matches the Rfam family "tRNA". Rfam says of the family: Transfer RNA (tRNA) molecules are approximately 80 nucleotides in length. Their secondary structure includes four short double-helical elements and three loops (D, anti-codon, and T loops). The record is from Rfam by way of RNAcentral. Lineage: Eukaryota; Metazoa; Chordata; Mammalia; Artiodactyla; Bovidae.
UCCCUGGUGGUCCAGUGAUCAUGACUCUGCACUUCCAAUGCAGGGAGUGUGGGUUAGAUCCCCAACCUGGGAA